Molecule: ribosomal RNA, 253 nt
Filed under: uncultured bacterium
Lineage: Bacteria
Description: partial 16S ribosomal RNA
Rfam family: Bacterial small subunit ribosomal RNA
Source: RNAcentral
UACGGAGGGUGCAAGCGUUAUCCGGAUUUACUGGGCUUAAAGGGCGCGUAGGUGGGUCUGUAAGUCAGUGGUGAAAUCUUCGAGCUUAACUCGGAAACUGCCAUUGAUACUAUAGGUCUUGAAUUAUCUGGAGGUGAGCGGAAUAUGUCAUGUAGCGGUGAAAUGCUUAGAUAUGACAUAGAACACCAAUUGCGAAGGCAGCUCACUACGGAUUUAUUGACACUGAGGCACGAAAGCGUGGGGAUCAAACAGG